UAUAAUAACAAGGAGAGACACCUGCCGUUUCUUUUUUUUUUAACGAAACUUUAUUAAAUACGUCUAGAAACAAUUAAGUUCACCAUUACUUCUGCAAAGAGUGCACUGCUGUGUGACGUCUCCUGUUAUCUGCGCACGCGGGUCACUUUGCUGUCUUGAAUUGUUCAGACAGAAGUAUGAUGGUAGUCACAUUUAAUGAACGUCCACGUAAAAAAAAAAAAAAAAUCAGAUUUCAGCAAAAAAUCGGAAUUGAGCCCCAAGACCUGCAGUGUGAACGUAGCCAAAGAGACUCAUACUUUUUGUUAACUUAAACUGAACAAGAUCUUAAAUUAUUCACCUCUGUUUUCUGCCAUCCGUGGUGAAAGAGGAAGUGAAUUCUUCACACAAAGGAAUAUUUUAGGGUUCUAAGCCGUUUAUGAUCUGGAGCCCAACUAACCAUCACAACAUCUGUGGAUCAGUAACAGACUAAUUAAAAAACUUUUAUUCUGCUGCUGUAGGCGUGUGGUUUAUGCUUCAUUGAGCCACUACUCUCAGGCUUUAUUUGCUAAAUAUCUGCAGAUGUUACAAACAUCCCCUUACUUUGAAGGUAUUAUUAUUCUGUUCACAGUGCAAACACUGUGAAAUUACCACAAGUUUAUGGCUGAAACACCAGGAUUUAAGCCCAAACACAUUUUGCCUCAGAAGCGAUGGCCCACAGAAGUCUGUGUUGUAGAAAUCCCUUCUGCUUUAUGGUUUUCUGGGCGUUUACAUAAGCGUAGUGGCUGUGGAAGAAUCAUUGGUUAUAGUUUCAUUGCUAAAAAUCAGUAUUAAGUCCUGGUGAAGGAGGCCCUAACCCACGCUUUGCCUCAAAGCAAGAGCUUGGCUGAUUCUGCUACAGUGGGAGGGGUUUGAGGUCCUGUGGGAGGGGCUACAUGUGCAGUGGGAGGGGUUACUACCCAGAGUCAUUGUUGUGGACCUCACAAGAAAAAAAAAAGUUCCAGAUAAAAGGUUCUAGGUCUUAUAGUUGAAACCUUAAAAUCCUUAAAGUUCUUCAUGAAGUUGUUUUUUUUUUAUCUGACAUAAAGUUGACUAGUCACAACUUUAUUUUGAAAGAAUUAAGGGCAACAUUUUUAAUUUGUGUUGUUGAAGGAAUAAAACAACCCCAAUUAAACCAAAAUGUAAAUGACUACACUCCAUCUUUAGUAUUAAUAUUAUAAAGGACAUUUGAAAACCAUUCUGUGGAAUUUCUAAAGUGCUAGUUUAUUUUAUAACUAUACAUAAUUUAUUUAUUUUGUCUAUUCACCAGAUUUGGAUCUUAAUAAGCAGAGAUUUAGUAGAAUACAUAAUGUGGUAUGUAUUGCUAUACAUUGCGACUUUAAUUGAAAACUAAUACAGUAUGUUGGUUCAUUUCAUGAUAACUGGGGUAAAGAUCAAGGUCAUUUUUAAAGACUGCAUGAGUUAUUUUUUACAAAUGUAAAAUUUGCUUAAACUUUAACUCCAAACCCACUGUUUAAAGUAAGGGUUGUUCAAUAAGAAAUUAGAAAAUAGGUUAUCACAGAUUUAUAAUUUCUUUUUUUUAUUUAUGUAACAUAAACUUUUCUUAAGUUUAUGUCACUUCAUCUAACUACAGUCUUAUAUGUAAAUAAAAAAGUUUGGGUAGUUUCUAAAUUCCCGGAUUUGGGUGGAUGUAGCAGUGAUGGGGACAGGAACGAGGGGGUUGCUGUACAGUCAGUCUUCCUUUCUCCCAGCUGACACAUUCAAAUGAAAACGCGUUAGUUGCUGCAGGAGCAGCUAUAGUACAGAACUCCCCUGAGGGCUGAGCUUGUGGCAGAGGCACAGUAAAGUGCAAAUGUUCUACAAGCUAAUGUGUCAGAAAACGAAGGGGCUUGUUUUUCGGGGAAAUGUGAACAGUGAUAUCUUUGGAGCGUGCGACAGGUUUGAUCAGAUCAUAAGGUGCUGUCUUUAAGCGUUAAAUUUUCAUUUUACUUUUUAUUCCAACAGUUUUGUCAUUUUUAGUAUGUUUUCAGUUGGUCCUAAACAGCUUUGUACAUUUGGGAAUCUGUUCUGUGUUAUGGACUGUCUUUUUGUUCCGCCUUUUCUGUAGUGACACACACAUGAUGAAACUAACAUUUGAUAUUGUAAUGUGCCUUGGGGCUGAGUGAGUUCUAAUAAAUUCAAUUGGUGUAAACUUUUCA
Long non-coding RNA from Fundulus heteroclitus (mummichog), 2174 nucleotides. RefSeq lists it as uncharacterized. The record is from RefSeq and is a predicted model, not a curated record. The transcript is spliced from 2 exons. NCBI's taxonomy places the organism in Eukaryota, Metazoa, Chordata, Actinopteri, Cyprinodontiformes, Fundulidae.